CUCAGUGGAGAAAAUGAACAUCACAUGGUGGAGAACGGUCCAUCACAACUCUGGUCUGCGGACGCCUCCCUUGCCCUGACACCCACAUGCCGGUCGGAAGGCGCCGGGUAGGGGAGCCCACCUGCUCUCUCUGAACACUCAUGGAUUAGAAUGCCAUUGAGGAAACUCAGGACCCCUGAAGAAUAAAGACAAGAGUUGACAGUCUCUUUUGAGGAUGGCCCUGCUGAUCUUACAAGCACCAUGAGCUCCCAUCGCACUGGCCAAAGAGAAGAACACAGUUCCACAAAGAAACUAAAAGGGAGUGUCUUCCAUAACCCAAGGAUAGGAGGGAGAAGGGCGAAUGCACCCACAUUUGGCAAAACCAGACUUCAAUAGAAGAAACCCAACUCACCUGAGAGUCAGACAAAUAAAAGAGAAAAAAAUAUGCAGCUUGGUCACAGUAGACUGAACCAAUGAUUAAAUGUGUUCUAACUCAGAAAUUCUCCUUGAUUAACAUGCAAGGUCUUUUGGAUUUUGUCUUGCUUUACAUUUGUGACUGUCACAGGAAAACAGCAUCUUGAAGAUGGCACUUGCAAAGUGGCAGGACACGCAGAGAUGCUGAGUAAGUGCCUUUGUUUCUUUUGAAGGGGUCUGCUUGAAUGGAGGGUGUUGUGGUUGUCUGUCCUCAUGUAGAAAGCCUUUGGUGAGCAGCAUCAUUCCCCACCGAGGAGCAUUGGAGAGUCAUCACAGAGAUGUGUCUGCGAGGCGAUUUCAGUGAAACAUGGGGCCAGGCCUCAAAGGAGUUCCAUUAGAGGAUUUGUAAUUAACAUGUGGCAGAAGGUUCCAAAAAUGGAAUUUCAUGCAUAAUUGCAGUGUUUAUUACUGUUGAUAAUCACCCUUACACAACAUUAAAUGUAACAUGCAGAUAAUUUGGAGACCGAAAGGGUUAAUAAAAUUACUCUUGGAAUGUAGCAGCGGGGUCUGUAGGUAAAAAUAACAGCGAUGUUAUAAUAAGUGGGAAUGUGUGUUCUUGUCCCAAAAGGUUUUUACACAUACUUAUUUUUAAGCAUUUGAUAGUUACAG
RNAcentral lists this long non-coding RNA (1062 nucleotides) under Homo sapiens (human). RNAcentral's name for it is "HSALNT0083635". The record is from RNAcentral. Lineage: Eukaryota; Metazoa; Chordata; Mammalia; Primates; Hominidae.